RNAcentral lists this ribosomal RNA (168 nucleotides) under Thunnus alalunga (albacore). Its description in RNAcentral is "partial small subunit ribosomal RNA". The record is from RNAcentral. Lineage: Eukaryota; Metazoa; Chordata; Actinopteri; Scombriformes; Scombridae.
CACCGCGGUUAUACGAGAGGCCCAAGUUGACAGACACCGGCGUAAAGCGUGGUUAAGGUAUACCAAAACUAAAGCCGAACACCUUCAGGGCAGUCAUACGCAUCCGAAGGCACGAAGCCCCACCACGAAAGUGGCUUUAUGAACCCUGACCCCACGAAAGCUAUGACA